UCGGGAAUUUUGGGCAAUGGGCGAAAGCCUGACCCAGCAACGCCGCGUGAAGGAUGAAGUAUUUCGGUAUGUAAACUUCGAAAGAAUAGGAAGAAUAAAUGACGGUACUAUUUAUAAGGUCCGGCUAACUACGUGCCAGCAGCCGCGGUAAUACGUAGGGACCAAGCGUUGUUCGGAUUUACUGGGCGUAAAGGGCGCGUAGGCGGCAUGACAAGUCACUUGUGAAAUCUCCGGGCUUAACUCGGAACGGCCAAGUGAUACUGUCACGCUAGAGUAUUGGAGGGGCAAUCGGAAUUCUUGGUGUAGCGGUGAAAUGCGUAGAUAUCAAGAGGAACACCUGAGGCGAAGGCGGGUUGCUAGGCUGACACUGACGCUGAGGCGCGAAAGCUAGGGUAGCAAACGGGAUUAGAUACCCUCGUAGUCCCUGAGCGGGCUGGCAAGGCGCAU
This 447-nucleotide ribosomal RNA is filed under the name uncultured bacterium. Its description in RNAcentral is "bacterial SSU rRNA". It matches the Rfam family "Bacterial small subunit ribosomal RNA", at positions 355 to 825 of the family's 1533-position model. The record is from RNAcentral.